AUGCCCGUGAAGCUAAAGCAAAGCGCCAGGAGGUGGGAGCGCUCCUUCCCGCAGCCUUCAAGGAUGAGCUGCUGGCUUGUGACUCCUCACUGCAGUGCAGAGUCCUCUCCUUUCCUCAGGGCAGGAGCUUCGCAAGCAGCUGCCUUGGGAUCGAGCAGUGGGGCUGAGCAGCUCCUGCUCUGCUUUGUCCCCAACCCCGGGGGCUGGAUCCUGGCUGUGGGGCUCCCAAAUGCUGCGGUGCGUGGUCCCGCUGGCCCCUUGCUCUCCGCGAGCCGGGGUUGUGCAUUCGGUGGCUUUUUUUUUUUUCCUUCAUGCACUAUAUUCAGGAGGAGAUGGACUGCGCUGGCACGGCUCCAGAGGCAAUCCUCUCCUUGCCAGGAAGCCAGAUGCAUGGUCACAUUGCCUGCCUCUCCCUGGCAAGGCUGGAAGAGCUUCAGCAGGUGUGAGAGAACAGCAUGCGGGAGCCGCAGGUUGGGCGCAGGCUGCCUCGGAGGGGCCGCCAGAGCCGCGCCACGGAGCCCCCGGCCGGGCACUGCUGCAACAAACCAAACCCCUGGUGGGUUGAUCCUCCCUAGCCCUAUCCUCCCUGGGUUUGAACUGGAGCAAGGAGGCAGCAGGAUGGAGUGGUUUUCCUCCUCCCCCCCCCUCGAGCCUUCCACCUCCUCAGCAAUGUUGCGGCGAGAGCGGGGACUCGCAGUCAGCAGACUGCAGUGACAGAUGGCAGGUCAUAAGCCCUCGCGCUAAUCUACCACCGCAAAAGAAAAUAGGGCUGGGGGUGAUUCAGCUGCUAGGCCUCAAAGCGAGAGCAUGCCGGGAUAGCGUGCUCCUCUGACACGUCCUUGAAGGAUGCUGCGUCCCCCAGGACGGCGGGGGACAGAAGUAAAGUGGCGACGAAGCACAAAUGUGUUUGCAGAAUGAGGCGAAUUCUGCAGAACCUGGGUGGUGUGCUCGUAGUCGUUCGGAGUAAUUGGAUUUCUGGGAGCAAGAUGCAAGUAUCACUAACAGAAAGCUCUGUGAGGAAUGAUUUGGGAUCCAGAGAUGAAGCUAGCUGGGCAUGGUCAUCGUCCCAACCUUGGUUGUCCCCUGGCUGGAGCUGCCAGCACCCGUAAAUGUAUCUGCCAAGCUGUCACCGUGUGGAUCUGAAAGGAAGCUGAACCUAUGCAGCUCAGCACAGCGCUUUGGAAACUCUCAUGUGGCAGGAGGAGUUUCCUGAUGUUUAUAAGCUGCAAGGUGCAUUUGGAGCUGAUGUGUUUUGUUGAAGGAAGAGCGCAGGCUGCAGCCCCAGCUGC
Molecule: long non-coding RNA, 1289 nt
Filed under: Anas zonorhyncha (Eastern spot-billed duck)
Lineage: Eukaryota; Metazoa; Chordata; Aves; Anseriformes; Anatidae
Description: lncRNA (ENSAZOG00000008829.1)
Source: RNAcentral